RNAcentral lists this long non-coding RNA (2078 nucleotides) under Coturnix japonica (Japanese quail). RNAcentral describes it as "lncRNA (ENSCJPG00005005636.1)". The record is from RNAcentral. Lineage: Eukaryota; Metazoa; Chordata; Aves; Galliformes; Phasianidae.
GCACCAAAAUUCUUCAGAGUUUAUUAGUUUAAGGACAAAUGUCACUGACUCAUGCCAAGGAACCACUUUAGCGUCAACAACAACUUUUAGAGGGAAUAGCUCCAUCAUUAAUGGAGCCAGAAUAAACCCUCAGUUACUGCAUUCCUAAGUUCCCAUGCAUACACACAUAGACGUGGGAAGAUGCAUUUGGGGGGAACUAACAUUGUAGUGGUGAUUUAGUCACUUGUGUCCCGUGGAAGCAGUACAACUUUCUUCCACAAAAGGCUGGUACCACCAUUCAGUCAAAAAACUAUAAAAUCAUAUGUAAUUGAAGAAAAAUAAAUAAAUUACAAAAAAAAAAUGAGUGGUAAUUUUCAUAGGUCUCAUCUUGGAUUUUAUAAUAGUUCGAGAGACCAGAAGUUUUGUUCUGGAUCCAUGUUAGAAAAAUUAAUCAACAGAAAGGAGACCCCACAGCCUCAAGGCAAUCUCUGCCAGAGCUCUGUCACUUGCACAGCACAAAAGUGCUCCUGGUGUUCUGGGGUAAUCUUCUGCUUUCCAGUUUGCACCCACUGCCUCUUGUCCUGGAGCUGGGCACCACUAAAAAGAGCUGUUCACUUUGUACCUUCCUUUCAGGUGUUUAUAGACAUUGAUGGGAUCUCCCUGAGGAUUCUCCUCUCCAGGCUGGACAGUCCCACGUCCCUCAAUCUGUCUUCAUGCAUUUGCAGUCUCUCCCAAAGACUGUUUUGCUUUUAUGGAAGUAGCUUUGAAAGUCUUUUGCACCAAGAACACUAUUGUCUUCUCAGAAAACUAUGGACAGGAACUACAAUUUGCUUUGUAUGCCUGACUGAUACAUAUGACUUCUUCACUUCCUCACUUGGAAGGAAUGGAGCUACAGCUAUUGCACUCUCCAUCAGGAGGCUGAUCUGCUAUAAAUGACCAAACGCACUCCAAUACGUGAAGUAGAAACUCUUUCAAGUUAAGAAAACUCUUCCUUGGCAGGGGAAGUGGUGUAAGCAGACCCAUGGAGCAAUGUAAAGCCCUGCCAGCAUUGGUCUUUGAUCCAGACUUUGGAGGAGGCACAGCACUGCUUACCUUACUCUGGAAGCUUGCUGGGACUAUGCAGAGUUUGCCCAUGUGAGUAGCAGUCCCUCAGCAGCAUCCAGCCAGAGUGAAACCUUCCAAUGCCCAUCACAGGCAGUCCACAAAGUUCGGGAAGUCUACACGACAGUCAGACCCACAGCAAUGGAACUCUCUCAUCUUCCACUGGAAAAAAAAAUCUCACCUCAUUGUGUGUACACACUCAUGUGUAAUCAGUCACACCACAGCUGUGGUGAUAACAUUAUUGUUGACUGACCACAGGAACUGUAAUCGCUGUGUCAAUCUAACACUUUUUUUGAUGAGAUCAAGGCAACCUGGAGACAAAACCAUCUGAAGUUGUGGAAGCCUUAUUUCAUGUUUUCACUGAUGACGGAGCUGAAGCUUGUAGCAGUGACUUGUUUUUCUUGGUAUACAGAAGUGUGUGUGUGUGUAUUGAUUUCAAAGCCCACCAAAGUCAACAGGGAGUUUCCUAUUUAUCACUAUUGGUUUUAGCUUAAACCCUCUGGGACUGACAUUUACGGGAGCUAGCAACUGGGCAGGGACUCCAGAGAUCAGGUUUAUGCAACUGCUUUUUCCAUUUGUGUCUUGAUGACCUAAGUCACCUCUCCCCAUGACUCAAUUUUGCCAUCUGCAAGGAGGUAGAAAGCUUGACCUUCCUUCAAGAAGGAUUUCUUUCUCGGGAUGAAAAUCUAAAGGCAAGAAGGAUGAGAUGAGCUGGGUAUUUUUAUUCUGCACAUGGAAAUCAGACAAGAAGGUGAAAUACAUAUGGUAAUAGAAGUUGACAAACAAAAUCCAUUUGUAUGAAGUGUUUUUGCUUGUAGAGGGGAAGCUCAGUUCUCAGAAGAAUUUGUUUUCUGUUAGCAAACCAAUUUCUCAUCCGCAGCUGCAGAGAUUAGUAAUCUGUGGCUACCGCACUGCCUGUUCUCCGAGUGUGUCAUUAUCAAACCCUUCUUAAUCACUGAGUUAAUAAACAAAUGAUAGCUAAAGCUGAUUCCUAGCCU